This 484-nucleotide ribosomal RNA is filed under the name uncultured bacterium. RNAcentral's name for it is "partial 16S ribosomal RNA". It matches the Rfam family "Bacterial small subunit ribosomal RNA", at positions 29 to 507 of the family's 1533-position model. The record is from RNAcentral.
AUUGAACGCUGGCGGAAUGCUUUACACAUGCGAGUCGAGCGGCAGCGCGGCCUUCGGGCUGGCGGCGAGCGGCGAACGGGUGAGUAAUGCAUCGGAACAUGCCCAGUCGUGGGGGAUAACACUUCGAAAGAAGUGCUAAUACCGCAUACGUCCUGAGGGGGAAAGCGGGGGAUCGCAAGACCUCGCGCGAUUGGAGUGGCCGAUGUCAGAUUAGCUAGUUGGUGGGGUAAAGGCCUACCAAGGCGACGAUCUGUAGCUGGUCUGAGAGGAUGAUCAGCCACACUGGGACUGAGACACGGCCCAGACUCCUACGGGAGGCAGCAGUGGGGAAUUUUGGACAAUGGGGGCAACCCUGAUCCAGCCAUUCCGCGUGAGUGAAGAAGGCCUUCGGGUUGUAAAGCUCUUUCGGCAGGAACGAAACGGUGGGCUCUAACAUAGUCCGCUAAUGACGGUACCUGAAGAAGAAGCACCGGCUAACUACGUG